This 1564-nucleotide ribosomal RNA is filed under the name Membranipora membranacea. RNAcentral describes it as "SSU rRNA". It matches the Rfam family "Eukaryotic small subunit ribosomal RNA". Lineage: Eukaryota; Metazoa; Bryozoa; Gymnolaemata; Cheilostomatida; Membraniporidae. The record is from RNAcentral.
AUNAGCCAUGCAUGUCUAAGUACAAGCCGCUCGCGCGGCGAGACUGCGGACGGCUCAUUAAAUCGGUUACGACUCCACUGGGGCCAGACUCUCCACGUGGAUAACGUGCGGUAACUCCGGUGCUAAUACAUGCAACAAGGCUCCGACCUCGGCCUCGGCCGGGGGAAGGGCGCACUUAUUAGGCGAAAACCGACCGCCGGCUUGCCGGCGUUGGUGGACGACACCCGAGUAAUUGCCGCCGAUCGCACGGCCUCGAGCCGGCGACGCCGCCACCGAGUUUCUGAUCUAUCAUGCUGUCGACGGUUGGUGCUAUGCCAACCGUGGCGUUAACGGAUAACAGAGAAUCUGGGUUCGAUUCUGGAGAGGCCGCAUGAGAAACGGCGACCACUUCCAAGGAAGGCAGCAGGCACGCAAAUUACCCACUCGGGACACCCGGAGGUAGUGACGAACAAUACCGAUGCGGCGCGCUUACGCGUCGCCGUAAUCGGAAUGAGUACAAUUAAAAUCCUUUAACGAGGAUCCACUGGAGGGCAAGCCUGGUGCCAGCAGCCGCGGUAAUUCCAGCUCCAGCAGCGUAUAUUUAUAUUGCUGCGUUUAAAAAGCUCGUAGUUGACACGUCAGACGCGGGAGGACGGAUGGCCGCACCGGUUUUUCUCGUCCGACCGAGCCAGGCGCGGAGGGCGUCCGUCGGUUGCGCUUCAUCGCGUGGUCGCGGCGUCGCUGCACGUUCACCUUGAGGAAAUUGAACCGCUCAGAGGAGGCGAGCAGCUUGAACAGCUCAGCAUGGUAUGAUGGAACAUGGGCUCGUACUCAUUUUGUCGGUUCUGGAGUUUGCGAGCCAAUGAUUAAACAGGGACUGCCGGGGGCAUUCGUACUCGGGCGCAGAGGCAAAGCUGAAACUUAAAGGAAUUGACGGAAGGGCACCACCAGGAGUGGAGCCUGCGGCUUAAUUUGACUCAACACGGGAAACCUCACCCGGCCCGAACACUGUUAUGACAGACAGGUUGAGAGCUCUUUCUCGAUUCAGUGGUUGGUGGUGCAUGGCCGUUCUUAGUUCGUGGAGCGAUCUGUCUGGUUAAUUCCGAUAACGAACGAGACUCUUGCCUGCUAAAUAGACGGCGCCGCACUCGUACGGCGACCGCACGCUUCUUAGAGGGACAAGCGGCUCUUAGCCGCGUGAAGCGAAGAGCAAUAACAGGUCAGUGAUGCCCUCAGAUGUUCGGGGCCGCACGCGCGCUACACUGCUUGCGUCAACGUGUGCGUCCCUCGCCUGACGGCGCGGGCAAUCCGUUGAACCGCAAGCGUGCUAGGGAUCGGAGAUUGCAAUUCUUCUCCGUCAACGAGGAAUUCCUUGUACUCGCGAGUCAUCAGCUCGCAGGGAAUCUGUCCCUGCCCUUUGUACACACCGCCCGUCGCUACUACCGAUUGAGGUGGUUUAGUGAGGCUCACGGACCGCUGGCGGCACCCGGCGCUCGCGCGCCACGUCGCCGGCGGAAAGUGAUACGAACUUGAUCACUUCUAGGAAGUAAAAGUCGUAACANGGUUUUCGUAGGUGAACCUGCGG